RNAcentral lists this unclassified non-coding RNA (421 nucleotides) under soil metagenome. Its description in RNAcentral is "partial contains 5.8S ribosomal RNA, internal transcribed spacer 2, and large subunit ribosomal RNA". The stretch from base 1 to 120 matches the Rfam family "5.8S ribosomal RNA", at positions 35 to 154 of the family's 154-position model. The record is from RNAcentral.
GAUGAAGAACGUAGCGAAAUGCGAUACGUAAUGUGAAUUGCAGAAUUCAGUGAAUCAUCGAAUCUUUGAACGCAUAUUGCGCUCUUUGGUAUUCCGAAGAGCAUGCUUGUUUGAGUAUCAGUAAACACCUCAACCUCUUCUUGAUUUUUCAAAAGGAGGGUGGACUUGAGCUAUCCCAACAACCUUUACCGGUCGGCGGGCGGCUUGAAAUGCAGGUGCAGCUGGACUUUUAUCUGAGCUGAAAGCAUAUCUAUUUAGUCCUCGUCAAACAGGAUUAUUACUUUUGCUGCAGCUAACAUAAAGGAUAAUUGUCCUCUUUGCUGACUGAUGCAGGAUUUUACGACACUUUAUGUGUUGUUCAACUCGAUCUCAAAUCAAGUAAGACUACCCGCUGAACUUAAGCAUAUCAAUAAGCGGAGGA